GGAUUAUGGCUCAGUGGUAGAGCAUUCACCUAACAUGUCCAAGGCCCUGAGUUUGAUCCUCAGCACCA
RNAcentral lists this transfer RNA (68 nucleotides) under Marmota monax (woodchuck). RNAcentral describes it as "tRNA.Val". The record is from RNAcentral. Lineage: Eukaryota; Metazoa; Chordata; Mammalia; Rodentia; Sciuridae.